This 404-nucleotide ribosomal RNA is filed under the name uncultured microorganism. RNAcentral's name for it is "bacterial SSU rRNA". It matches the Rfam family "Bacterial small subunit ribosomal RNA", at positions 9 to 407 of the family's 1533-position model. The record is from RNAcentral.
GAGUUUGAUCGUGGCUCAGAUUGAACGCUGGCGGCAUGCCUUACACAUGCAAGUCGAACGGCAGCAUGAUCUAGCUUGCUAGAUUGAUGGCGAGUGGCGAACGGGUGAGUAAUACAUCGGAACGUGCCCUGUAGUGGGGGAUAACUAGUCGAAAGAUUAGCUAACACCGGCAUACGACCUGAGGGUGAAAGUGGGGGACCGCAAGGCCUCAUGCUAUAGGAGCGGCCGAUGUCUGAUUAGCUAGUUGGUGGGGUAAAGGCCCACCAAGGCGACGAUCAGUAGCUGGUCUGAGAGGACGAUCAGCCACACUGGGACUGAGACACGGCCCAGGACUCCUACGGGAGGCAGCAGUGGGGAAUUUUGGACAAUGGGCGAAAGCCUGAUCCAGCAAUGCCGCGUGUGUG